GACGGAAAGAAAUCGCAUCUUCUAAUACAGGGUGUGGAUGACGGUACCGUAAGAAGAAGCACCGGCUAACUACGUGCCAGCAGCCGCGGUAAUACGUAGGGUGCGAGCGUUAAUCGGAAUUACUGGGCGUAAAGCGUGCGCAGGCGGUGAUGUAAGACAGAUGUGAAAUCCCCGGGCUCAACCUGGGAACUGCGUUUGUGACUGCAUCACUCGAGUACGGCAGAGGGAGGUGGAAUUCCGCGUGUAGCAGUGAAAUGCGUAGAUAUGCGGAGGAACACCGAUGGCGAAGGCAGCCUCCUGGGCCAGUACUGACGCUCAUGCACGAAAGCGUGGGGAGCAAACAGGAUUAGAUACCCUGGUAGUCCACGCCCUAAACGAUGUCAACUAGUUGUUCGGUGAGGAGACUCAUUGAGUAACGCAGCUAACGCGUGAAGUUGACCGCCUGGGGAGUACGGCCGCAAGGUUAAACU
RNAcentral lists this ribosomal RNA (470 nucleotides) under uncultured bacterium. RNAcentral's name for it is "bacterial SSU rRNA". It matches the Rfam family "Bacterial small subunit ribosomal RNA", at positions 439 to 901 of the family's 1533-position model. The record is from RNAcentral.